GAUGAACGCUGGCGGCGUGCCUAAUACAUGCAAGUCGAGCGAACAGACGAGGAGCUUGCUCCUCUGACGUUAGCGGCGGACGGGUGAGUAACACGUGGAUAACCUACCUAUAAGACUGGGAUAACUUCGGGAAACCGGAGCUAAUACCGGAUAAUAUAUUGAACCGCAUGGUUCAAUAGUGAAAGACGGUUUUGCUGUCACUUAUAGAUGUAUCCGCGCCGCAUUAGCUAGUUGGUAAGGUAACGGCUUACCAAGGCGACGAUGCGUAGCCGACCUGAGAGGGUGAUCGGCCACACUGGAACUGAGACACGGUCCAGACUCCUACGGGAGGCAGCAGUAGGGAAUCUUCCGCAAUGGGCGAAAGCCUGACGGAGCAACGCCGCGUGAGUGAUGAAGGUCUUCGGAUCGUAAAGCUCUGUUAUUAGGGAAGAACAAAUGUGUAAGUAACUAUGCACGUCUUGACGGUACCUACUCAGAAAGCCCCGGCUAACUACGUG
This 497-nucleotide ribosomal RNA is filed under the name uncultured bacterium. Its description in RNAcentral is "partial 16S ribosomal RNA". It matches the Rfam family "Bacterial small subunit ribosomal RNA", at positions 28 to 507 of the family's 1533-position model. The record is from RNAcentral.